UCUGGGAACGAUCCCGACACCAGGAACUUGC
Molecule: non-coding RNA, 31 nt
Filed under: Rattus norvegicus (Norway rat)
Lineage: Eukaryota; Metazoa; Chordata; Mammalia; Rodentia; Muridae
Source: RNAcentral